UACGACUACAUAUCAGGCAUAUCAAUAAGCGGAGGAAAAGAAACUAACAAGGAUUCCCUUAGUAACGGCGAGUGAAGCGGGAAGAGCUCAAAUUUGAAAUCUUCAAGGUUCUACCUUGACGAAUUGUAGUUUAAAGAAGUGUUUUCUGUUAGAUGAGUAGCAAAAGUUCCUUGGAAUAGGGACAUCAUAGAGGGUGAGAAUCCCGUAUUUGACCGUUAUCAUUCUCAGCUGUGUGAUACACUUUCAACGAGUCGGAUUGUUUGGGAAUGCAGUCCAAAAUGGGUGGUAAAUUUCAUCUAAAGCUAAAUAUUGGCGAGAGACCGAUAGCGAACAAGUACCGUGAGGGAAAGAUGAAAAGAACUUUGAAAAGAGAGUUAAACAGUACGUGAAAUUGUCAAAAGGGAAGCGCUUGACACCAGUGUUGUUUUUCCGAAAAUCAAUUACGAAUGGCUUGAUUUUGUGUUGUAUUGACCUUAUCAGCUUUCUGCACUUUUUUCGAGUCUUUCUUAAUGCACUUUUCGGUUAACAAGUCAACAUCAAUUUCUUUUGUUGUAAAAGAGUAUUCGGAAGGUGGCUUUCUUUUCGGAGAAAGUGUUUAUAGCCCUAUACUUCUACAAUCGGAGAGAUUGAGGUCUGCAGCGUAGAUCCUUCGGGGUUAGAUACACUUGUGCUAAGUUGUAGCUUUUCAUAGACAACUUGUUGACUAUGUUUAGUCAUGCGGCUUACUCGCUUGUGCUAUUUUACCUACGCUUAGGAUGUUGAGUAGCGACAUACGCAC
Molecule: ribosomal RNA, 778 nt
Filed under: uncultured Neocallimastigales
Lineage: Eukaryota; Fungi; Neocallimastigomycota; Neocallimastigomycetes; Neocallimastigales
Description: partial large subunit ribosomal RNA
Rfam family: Eukaryotic large subunit ribosomal RNA
Source: RNAcentral